ACGAACGCUGGCGGCAUGCCUAACACAUGCAAGUCGAACGAGACCUUCGGGUCUAGUGGCGCCCGGGUGCGUAACGCGUGGGAACCUGCCCUUAGGUUCGGAAUAACUCCCCGAAAGGGGUGCUAAUACCGGAUAAUGUCUUCGGACCAAAGAUUUAUCGCUUUUGGAUGGGCCCGCGUUGGAUUAGCUAGUUGGUAGGGUAAAAGCCUACCAAGGCGACGAUCCAUAGCUGGUCUGAGAGGAUGAUCAGCCACACUGGGACUGAGACACGGCCCAGACUCCUACGGGAGGCAGCAGUGGGGAAUAUUGGACAAUGGGCGAAAGCCUGAUCCAGCAAUGCCGCGUGAGUGAUGAAGGCCUUAGGGUUGUAAAGCUCUUUUACCCGGGAUGAUAAUGACAGUACCGGGAGAAUAAGCUCCGGCUAACUCCGUG
RNAcentral lists this ribosomal RNA (432 nucleotides) under uncultured bacterium. Its description in RNAcentral is "partial 16S ribosomal RNA". It matches the Rfam family "Bacterial small subunit ribosomal RNA", at positions 29 to 507 of the family's 1533-position model. The record is from RNAcentral.